RNAcentral lists this long non-coding RNA (396 nucleotides) under Mus musculus (house mouse). RNAcentral describes it as "predicted gene 11795". The record is from RNAcentral. Lineage: Eukaryota; Metazoa; Chordata; Mammalia; Rodentia; Muridae.
GACGAGGUGAGCGCAACAAAUUGGUGGCCUGUACAGGGACCCGAGGAUCUCAUGGAUUCAGAACUGUUCAGCUGAGGAAUGGCAGUACCGAGUCACCUCUUAUCUGAGUAGGAAAUUGGUCAGCUAAAGUGGAGCAGUUGUCCAGAAAGCUGCUCCUCCAGAUUGCCAAACUCAACAGCACUCGACUGGACCCUGUCACCUUGGGGAACUUCACCUCCUGGAUCACCAAUGCCUUCUCAUUUUUUAAGGAAUGGGUGGGAAUGUUGGCCUGGGGGGCAGUGGUCCUCCUGGGUUGUGUCUUUUGUAUCUGGCUAUUGUGUCGAUUCAAACAAGAGCAUGCUCAGUAUAAGGCAGUGUGUACCAAGCAUUGAUGGCGAUUAAAGAUAGCGCAUCUCC